UUUAAUUUUUAACUCUUCGUCUUAUUUAAUUUUUUUUUGCGAUUGAUUUUUUUAUUAGAUGAUAAAUCAUGAAUAGUACUUUACGUGUGACUAAUUUUUUUCUAAUUUUCUAAAAUUUUUUCAAAUAAGGCGAAUGGUCAAAUGUUGGACACGGAAACC
This 159-nucleotide microRNA precursor is filed under the name Oryza brachyantha (malo sina). RNAcentral describes it as "MIR812 microRNA precursor family". It matches the Rfam family "MIR812 microRNA precursor family", at positions 27 to 189 of the family's 205-position model. Lineage: Eukaryota; Viridiplantae; Streptophyta; Magnoliopsida; Poales; Poaceae. The record is from Rfam by way of RNAcentral.